This 1512-nucleotide ribosomal RNA is filed under the name uncultured Bordetella sp. RNAcentral describes it as "partial 16S-23S ribosomal RNA intergenic spacer". It matches the Rfam family "Bacterial small subunit ribosomal RNA". The record is from RNAcentral. Lineage: Bacteria; Pseudomonadati; Pseudomonadota; Betaproteobacteria; Burkholderiales; Alcaligenaceae.
GUUUGAUCCUGAGACCAGAUUGAACGCUGGCGGGAUGCUUUACAUGCAAGUCGAACGGCAGCACGGACUUCGGUCUGGUGGCGAGUGGCGAACGGGUGAGUAAUGUAUCGGAACGUGCCUAAUGUGGGGGAUAACUACGUGAAAGCGUAGCUAAUGCCGCAUACGCCCUUCAGGGGAAAGCAGGGGACAGCCGGGCCUCUCGCACUAUUAGAGCGGCCGAUAUCCGGAUUAGCUAGUUGGUGGGGUAACGGCUCACCAAGGCGACGAUCCGCCGGCUGGUUUGAGAGGACGACCAACCACACUGGGACUGAGACACGGCCCAGACUCCUACGGGGAACGGCAGUGGGGGAAUUUUGGACAAUGAAACCUGAUCCAGCCAUCCCGCGUGUGCGAUGAAGGCCUUCGGGUUAUCAAAGCACUUUUGGCAGGAAAGAAACGGCGGAUAUGCCCGUGCAGCCCCGAACUGACUCCCACCAUACAGAAUAAGCACCGGCCUAACCACGACACUGGCAAGCCGCCCGGUAAUACGUAGGGUACAGAUAAUCGAUGCACAAGAUAAAGCGUGCGCAGUGGGGAUUCGGAAAAGAAAGAUGUAAAAAUCCCAGGCUUAACUUUGGAACUGCAUUUUUAACUACCGAGCUAGAGUGUAUCAGGAGGAGGUGGAAUUCCGCGUGUAGCGAUGAAAUGCGCUGGGCUAUGCGGGAAGAACACCGAUGGCGAAGGCAACCUCCUGGAUAACGCGGCGCUCAUGCGAAAGCGUGAGGGGAGCAAACAGGAUUAGAUACCCUGGUAGUCCACUUCAACGAUAUCAAUAAAGCUGUUGGGGCCUUCGGGCCUUGGUAGCGCAGCUAACGCGUGAGUUGACCGCCUGGGGAGAGUACGGUCGCAAGAUUAAAACUCCGAAAAGGAAUUGACGGGGACCCACUGGCUUGGUGGAUGAUGUGGAUUAUUUCGUUACUGACACUUGAAAACCUUACACCUACCUUGACAUGUCUGGAAUCCCGAAGAGAUUUGGGAGUGCUCGCAAGAGAACGGAACACAGGGUGUAUGGCUGUCGUCAGCUCGUGUGUGAGAUGUUGGGUUCGCGAGUCACAACGAGCGCAGCCCUUGUCAUUAGUUGCUACGAAGGCACUCUAAUGGGACUGCGGUGACAAACCGGAGGAAGGUGGGGAUGACGUCAGUCUCAUGGCCCUUAUGGGUAAGACUACCGUCAUACAAUGAGGUCGGGACAGAGGUGCGCUAACCUGGGAGACAAUCCCGAAACCCGAUCGUAGUCCGGAUCAUGAUCUGCAACUCGACUGCGUGAAGUCGGAAUCGCUGGCGUAAUCGCGGAUCCAGCAUGUCGCGGUGAAUACGUUCCGGGUCUUACCUUUGCCGGCUCUGUAAGGUGGUUUACCAGAAGUAGUUAGCCUAACCGUAAGGAGGGCAGUUACCACGGUAGUUCGCUGACCAAACGGUCAGAGGUACGUAACUGGGUAACUCUGUUUACUACGGUAUGAACAAUACGUAGCA